CUUUCAAUUGUGAAGAAGGGGUUAUGGUUAAUACCCAUGAUCUUUGACGUUAACUUUAGAAGGAGCACCGGCUAACUCCGUGCCAGCAGCCGCGGUAAUACGGAGGGUGCAAGCGUUAAUCGGAAUUACUGGGCGUAAAGCGCGCGUAGGCGGUUAUUUAAGUCAGAUGUGAAAGCCCCGGGCUCAACCUGGGAAUGGCCUCUGAUACUGGGUAACUAGAGUUUGGAAGAGGGGAGUAGAAUUUCAGGUGUAGCGGUGAAAUGCGUAGAGAUCUGAAGGAAUACCAGUGGCGAAGGCGGCUUCCUGGCCUAAAACUGACGCUGAGGUGCGAAAGCGUGGGUAGCAAACGGGAUUAGAUACCCCGGUAGUCCACGCCGUAAACGAUGUCAACUAGCCGUUGGGCGCCUUGUGCGUUUAGUGGCGCAGGUAACGCAUUAAGUUGACCGCCUU
This 450-nucleotide ribosomal RNA is filed under the name uncultured Gammaproteobacteria bacterium. RNAcentral describes it as "bacterial SSU rRNA". It matches the Rfam family "Bacterial small subunit ribosomal RNA", at positions 433 to 873 of the family's 1533-position model. The record is from RNAcentral. Lineage: Bacteria; Pseudomonadati; Pseudomonadota; Gammaproteobacteria.